RNAcentral lists this ribosomal RNA (201 nucleotides) under uncultured bacterium. RNAcentral describes it as "partial 16S ribosomal RNA". It matches the Rfam family "Bacterial small subunit ribosomal RNA", at positions 524 to 723 of the family's 1533-position model. The record is from RNAcentral.
CACGUAGGGCGCAAGCGUUGUCCGGAAUUAUUGGGCGUAAAGAGCUCGUAGGCGGUCUGUUGCGUCCGCUGUGAAAACUCGGGGCUUAACCCCGAGCCUGCAGUGGAUACGGGCAGACUAGAGGUAGGUAGGGGAGAAUGGAAUUCCCGGUGUAGCGGUGAAAUGCGCAGAUAUCGGGAGGAACGACCGGUGGCGAAGGCG